CCUACGGGAGUCAGCAGUGGGGAAUAUUGGACAAUGGGCGAAAGCCUGAUCCAGCCAUGCCGCGUGUGUGAAGAAGGCCUUCGGGUUGUAAAGCACUUUCAGUGGGGAAGAAAGCCUUGGGGCUAAUACCCUCGAGGAAGGACAUCACCCACAGAAGUAGCACCGGCUAACUCCGUGCCAGCAGCCGCGGUAAUACGGAGGGUGCGAGCGUUAAUCGGAAUUACUGGGCGUAAAGCGCGCGUAGGCGGUCUGAUAAGCCGGUUGUGAAAGCCCCGGGCUCAACCUGGGAACGGCAUCCGGAACUGUCAGGCUAGAGUGCAGGAGAGGAAGGUAGAAUUCCCGGUGUAGCGGUGAAAUGCGUAGAGAUCGGGAGGAAUACCAGUGGCGAAGGCGGCCUUCUGGACUGACACUGACGCUGAGGUGCGAAAGCGUGGGUAGCAAACAGGAUUAGAUACCCUAGUAGUC
Molecule: ribosomal RNA, 465 nt
Filed under: Vreelandella stevensii
Lineage: Bacteria; Pseudomonadati; Pseudomonadota; Gammaproteobacteria; Oceanospirillales; Halomonadaceae
Description: partial 16S ribosomal RNA
Rfam family: Bacterial small subunit ribosomal RNA
Source: RNAcentral